CCUACGGGGGGCAGCAGUGAGGAAUAUUGGUCAAUGGACGAGAGUCUGAACCAGCCAAGUAGCGUGAAGGAUGACUGCCCUAUGGGUUGUAAACUUCUUUUAUAUGGGAAUAAAAUGUUCCACGUGUGGGAUUUUGUAUGUACCAUAUGAAUAAGGAUCGGCUAACUCCGUGCCAGCAGCCGCGGUAAUACGGAGGAUCCGAGCGUUAUCCGGAUUUAUUGGGUUUAAAGGGAGCGUAGGUGGAUUGUUAAGUCAGUUGUGAAAGUUUGCGGCUCAACCGUAAAAUUGCAGUUGAAACUGGCAGUCUUGAGUACAGUAGAGGUGGGCGGAAUUCGUGGUGUAGCGGUGAAAUGCUUAGAUAUCACGAAGAACUCCGAUUGCGAAGGCAGUUCACUGGACUGCAACUGACACUGAGGCUCGAAAGUGUGGGUAUCAAACAGUAUUAGAUACCCGGGUAGUC
This 460-nucleotide ribosomal RNA is filed under the name uncultured bacterium. Its description in RNAcentral is "partial 16S ribosomal RNA". It matches the Rfam family "Bacterial small subunit ribosomal RNA", at positions 338 to 795 of the family's 1533-position model. The record is from RNAcentral.